RNAcentral lists this ribosomal RNA (537 nucleotides) under uncultured bacterium. RNAcentral describes it as "bacterial SSU rRNA". It matches the Rfam family "Bacterial small subunit ribosomal RNA", at positions 355 to 895 of the family's 1533-position model. The record is from RNAcentral.
UGAGGAAUAUUGGUCAAUGGACGAGAGUCUGAACCAGCCAAGUAGCGUGCAGGAUGACGGCCCUAUGGGUUGUAAACUGCUUUUGUAUGGGGAUAAAGUCAAUCACGUGUGAUUGUUUGCAGGUACCAUACGAAUAAGGACCGGCUAAUUCCGUGCCAGCAGCCGCGGUAAUACGGAAGGUCCGGGCGUUAUCCGGAUUUAUUGGGUUUAAAGGGAGCGUAGGCCGGAGAUUAAGUGUGUUGUGAAAUGUAGACGCUCAACGCCUGACUUGCAGCGCAUACUGGUUUCCUUGAGUACGCACAACGUUGGCGGAAUUCGUCGUGUAGCGGUGAAAUGCUUAGAUAUGACGAAGAACUCCGAUUGCGAAGGCAGCUGACGGGAGCGCAACUGACGCUUAAGCUCGAAGGUGCGGGUAUCGAACAGGAUUAGAUACCCUGGUAGUCCGCACAGUAAACGAUGGAUGCCCGCUGUUGGUACCUGGUAUCAGCGGCUAAGCGAAAGCAUUAAGCAUCCCACCUGGGGAGCACGCCGGCCGGU